CUACGGGCUGCACCAGUGAGGAAUAUUGCACAAUGGGGGGAAUCCUGAUGCAGCAACGCCGCGUGGAGGAUGACGCAUUUCGGGGUGUAAACUCCUUUUAUAUGUCAAGAAAAUGACGGUAGCAUAUGAAUAAGCACCGGCUAACUCCGUGCCAGCAGCCGCGGUAAUACGGAGGGUGCAAGCGUUACUCGGAAUCACUGGGCGUAAAGGACGCGUAGGCGGGUUGGAAAGUCAGGUGUGAAAUCCUACAGCUUAACUGUAGAACUGCACUUGAAACUUCUAAUCUAGAGUAUGGGAGGGGGAGAUGGAAUUAGUGGUGUAGGGGUAAAAUCCGUAGAUAUCACUAGGAAUACCUAAAGCGAAGGCGAUCUCCUGGAACAUUACUGACGCUAAGGCGUGAAAGCGUGGGGAGCAAACAGGAUUAGAUACCCCCGUAGUC
Molecule: ribosomal RNA, 439 nt
Filed under: uncultured bacterium
Lineage: Bacteria
Description: partial 16S ribosomal RNA
Rfam family: Bacterial small subunit ribosomal RNA
Source: RNAcentral